This 468-nucleotide ribosomal RNA is filed under the name uncultured bacterium. RNAcentral's name for it is "partial 16S ribosomal RNA". It matches the Rfam family "Bacterial small subunit ribosomal RNA", at positions 28 to 507 of the family's 1533-position model. The record is from RNAcentral.
GACGAACGCUGGCGGCGUGCUUAACACAUGCAAGUCGAACGGAAAGGCCCUGCUUUUGUGGGGUGCUCGAGUGGCGAACGGGUGAGUAACACGUGAGUAACCUGCCCUUGACUUUGGGAUAACUUCAGGAAACUGGGGCUAAUACCGGAUAGGAGCUCCUGCUGCAUGGUGGGGGUUGGAAAGUUUCGGCGGUUGGGGAUGGACUCGCGGCUUAUCAGCUUGUUGGUGGGGUAGUGGCUUACCAAGGCUUUGACGGGUAGCCGGCCUGAGAGGGUGACCGGCCACAUUGGGACUGGGAUACGGCCCAGACUCCUACGGGAGGCAGCAGUGGGGAAUAGUGCACAAUGGGCGGAGGCCUGAUGCAGCAACGCCGCGUGCGGGAUGACGGCCUUCGGGUUGUAAACCGCUUUCGCCUGUGACGAAGCGUGAGUGACGGUAAUGGGUAAAGAAGCACCGGCUAACUACGUG